This 345-nucleotide long non-coding RNA is filed under the name Pongo abelii (Sumatran orangutan). Its description in RNAcentral is "lincRNA". Lineage: Eukaryota; Metazoa; Chordata; Mammalia; Primates; Hominidae. The record is from RNAcentral.
UCUGGUUCCCACUGCUCCCCGCUACAGACAGCCCAUAGCUGGUUGCAUCUUGUCAGAGGCAAACACCCAGAGAUGGAGAUGUGUCUCUCUCAGUCCUAAGCCCAAGUCUCCAGAGAAGAGAAUCUGGAGGGCCCUCCAGGGUCCAUCCCAAUCCAAAUCAUCUAUAGUCAAGAACAAGGAGCCAGUGGUGCAGACACAGAUGCAGUUCCAUCUCUUGGGCCCCACCAAGGAGAGAAGCAGUUCUCAGAGGCUACAGUGGAGGAUGGAGACAGGCUGGGUCCACACCCCCAUGCCCCACAGGUACCUACGGCGACUCCCCAGAAAUAAGCAUUUCCCCAGUCCUGA